GAUGAACGCUGACAGAAUGCUUAACACAUGCAAGUCGAUGGGGAAGUGGUGCUUGCACCAUGGUAACCAUGGCGGACGGGUGAGUAACGCGUAAGGAACUUGCCUGCGGGACUGGGAUAACAGCAGGAAACUGCUGAUAAUACCGGAUAAGGUCAUUAAGCUGCAUAGCUUAGUGAUGAAAGGAGACGCCUGCGGAGAGCCUUGCGUCCUAUUAGCUAGUUGGAGGGGUAACGGCCCACCAAGGCGAAGAUAGGUAGCCGGCCUGAGAGGGUGGACGGCCACAAGGGGACUGAGAUACGGCCCUUACUCCUACGGGAGGCAGCAGUGGGGAAUAUUGGACAAUGGGGGCAACCCUGAUCCGGCAAUUCUGUGUGCACGAAGACGGUUUUCGGAUUGUAAAGUGCUUUCAGCAGGGAAGAAGGAAGUGACGGUACCUGCAGAAGAAGCGACGGCUAAAUACGUG
Molecule: ribosomal RNA, 463 nt
Filed under: uncultured bacterium
Lineage: Bacteria
Description: partial 16S ribosomal RNA
Rfam family: Bacterial small subunit ribosomal RNA
Source: RNAcentral